RNAcentral lists this ribosomal RNA (436 nucleotides) under uncultured bacterium. Its description in RNAcentral is "bacterial SSU rRNA". It matches the Rfam family "Bacterial small subunit ribosomal RNA", at positions 954 to 1392 of the family's 1533-position model. The record is from RNAcentral.
GCUUAACGCGAAGAACCUUACCAAGGCUUAAAUGGGAAACGACGGAUCUGGAAACAGGUCUUCCUUCGGGCGUUUUUCAAGGUGCUGCAUGGUUGUCGUCAGCUCGUGCCGUGAGGUGUCAGGUUAAGUCCUAUAACGAGCGCAACCCCUGUUGUUAGUUGCCAGCGAGUCAAGUCGGGAACUCUAGCAAGACUGCCGGUGCAAACCGUGAGGAAGGUGGGGAUGACGUCAAAUCAUCACGGCCCUUACGCCUUGGGCUACACACGUGCUACAAUGGACGGUACAGAGAGCAGCCAGUGGGUGACCACGAGCGAAUCUACAAAACCGUUCUCAGUUCGGAUCGGAGUCUGCAACUUGACUCCGUGAAGCUGGAAUCGCUAGUAAUCGGAUGUCAGCCAUGAUCCGGUGAAUACGUUCCCGGGUCUUGUACACACCG